This 253-nucleotide ribosomal RNA is filed under the name uncultured bacterium. RNAcentral's name for it is "partial 16S ribosomal RNA". It matches the Rfam family "Bacterial small subunit ribosomal RNA", at positions 524 to 776 of the family's 1533-position model. The record is from RNAcentral.
UACAUGUGGGGCAAGCGUUGUUCGGAAUUACUGGGCAUAAAGGGUGCGUAGGCGGUUUGUUAAGUCACUGGUGAAAGUUUUCGGCCCAACCGGAAAAUUGCCUGUGAUAUUGGCGAACUUGAGUGCGUGAGGGGUGGGGGGAACGAGCAGUGUAGCGGUGAAAUGCGUAGAUAUUGCUCGGAAGGCCGGAGCCGAAGGGGCCCCACUGGUACGUAACUGACGCUGAGGCACGAAAGCGUGGGGAGCAAACAGG